This 247-nucleotide unclassified non-coding RNA is filed under the name Trichophyton verrucosum. Its description in RNAcentral is "ITS1". The record is from RNAcentral. Lineage: Eukaryota; Fungi; Ascomycota; Eurotiomycetes; Onygenales; Arthrodermataceae.
ACGCGCAGGCCGGAGGCUGGCCCCCCACGAUAGGGAUCAGCGUUCCAUCAGGGGUGUGCAGAUGUGCGCCGGCCUUACGCCCCAUUCUUGUCUACCUUACUCGGUUGCCUCGGCGGGCCGCGCUCUCCCCGGAGAGUCGUCCGGCGAGCCUCUUCGGGGGCUUUAGCUGGAUCGCGCCCGCCGGAGGACAGACAUCAAAAAAUCUUGAAGAGCUGUCAGUCUGAGCGUUAGCAAGCAAAAUCAGUUA